AUUGAACGCUGGCGGCAGGCCUAACACAUGCAAGUCGAGCGGCAGCACAGUGCUUGCUCCUGCAUACAGCUGCCGACUGGUGAGUGAUGCCUAGGAAUAUCCCUGGCAGUGGGUGAUAACGUCCUAACACGGGCGCUCAUACCGCAUUAGUCCUGACGAACAACGGGGGGGAUCUUCGGACCUCCCGCUAUCAGAUGAUCCGAGGUCGGAUUAGCUAGUUGGUGGGGUAAAGGCCUACCAAGGCGACGAUCCGUAACUGGUCUGAGAGGAUGAUCAGUCACACUGGAACUGAGACACGGUCCAGACUCCUACGGGAGGCAGCAGUGGGGAAUAUUGGACAAUGGGCGAAAGCCUGAUCCAGCCAUGCCGCGUGGGUGAAGAAGGUCUUCGGAUUGUAAAGCCCUUUUAGUGGGGAAGAAGAGCAGUAAGUUAAUACCUUGCUGUUUUGACGGUACCAACAGAAUAAGCACCGGCUAACUUCGUG
Molecule: ribosomal RNA, 484 nt
Filed under: uncultured bacterium
Lineage: Bacteria
Description: partial 16S ribosomal RNA
Rfam family: Bacterial small subunit ribosomal RNA
Source: RNAcentral